RNAcentral lists this ribosomal RNA (137 nucleotides) under uncultured eukaryote. RNAcentral describes it as "partial 18S ribosomal RNA". It matches the Rfam family "Eukaryotic small subunit ribosomal RNA", at positions 1299 to 1458 of the family's 1831-position model. The record is from RNAcentral.
UGGUGGAGUGAUUUGUCUGGUUAAUUCCGAUAACGAACGAGACUCUAGCCUGCUAAAUAGUCACUACGUAACAAUUGCGUAGCCUGACUUCUUAGAGGGAUUCGCUACUUUUAGUGGUACGAAAAUGAGCAAUAACA